Molecule: non-coding RNA, 86 nt
Organism: Emydomyces testavorans
Lineage: Eukaryota; Fungi; Ascomycota; Eurotiomycetes; Onygenales; Nannizziopsiaceae
Source: the annotation of a GenBank genome assembly
GGUCUCAUGGUCUAGUGGUUAUGACUCCGGAUUUUGAUGUGAAUGCGGAAAUUCCGGCACCCUGGGUUCGAAUCCCAGUGAGACCU